This 459-nucleotide ribosomal RNA is filed under the name uncultured bacterium. RNAcentral's name for it is "partial 16S ribosomal RNA". It matches the Rfam family "Bacterial small subunit ribosomal RNA", at positions 339 to 795 of the family's 1533-position model. The record is from RNAcentral.
CUACGGGAGGCAGCAGUGAGGAAUAUUGGGCAAUGGGCGCAAGCCUGACCCAGCCAUGCCGCGUGAAGGAUGAAUGCCCUAUGGGUUGUAAACUUCUUUUUUACGGGAAGAAACUCCUGAACGUGUUCGGGAUUGACGGUACCGUAUGAAUAAGCAUCGGCUAACUCCGUGCCAGCAGCCGCGGUAAUACGGAGGAUGCAAGCGUUAUCCGGAUUUAUUGGGUUUAAAGGGUGCGUAGGCGGGAUAAUAAGUCAGUGGUGAAAGCCUGUAGCUUAACUAUAGAAAUGCCAUUGAUACUGUUGUCCUUGAGUACAGUUGAGGUAGGCGGAAUGUGUAAUGUAGCGGUGAAAUGCUUAGAUAUUACACAGAACACCGAUUGCGAAGGCAGCUUACUAAGCUGGUACUGACGCUGAGGCACGAAAGCGUGGGGAGCAAACAGGAUUAGAUACCCCGGUAGUC